GAUGAACGCUGGCGGCGUGCCUAAUACAUGCCAGUCGAGCGAACAGACGAGGAGCUUGCUCCUCUGACGUUAGCGGCGGACGGGUGAGUAACACGUGGAUAACCUACCUAUAAGACUGGGAUAACUUCGGGAAACCGGAGCUAAUACCGGAUAAUAUAUUGAACCGCAUGGUUCACUAGUUAAAGACGGUUUUGCUGUCACUUAUAGAUGGCUCCGCGCCGCAUUAGUUAGUUGGUAAGGUAACGGCUUACCAAGGCGACGAUGCGUAGCCGACCCGAGGGGGUGAUCGGCCACACGGGAACUGAGACACGGUCCAGACUCCUGCGGGAGGCAGCAGUAGGGAAUCUUCCGCGAUGGGCGAAAGCCUGACGGUGCAACACCGCGUGAGUGAUGAAGGUCUUCGGAUCGUAAAACUCUGUUAUUAGGGAAGAACAAAUGUGUAAGUAACUAUGCACGUCUUGACGGUACCUAAUCAGAAAGCCACGGCUAACUACGUG
Molecule: ribosomal RNA, 497 nt
Filed under: uncultured bacterium
Lineage: Bacteria
Description: partial 16S ribosomal RNA
Rfam family: Bacterial small subunit ribosomal RNA
Source: RNAcentral